Molecule: long non-coding RNA, 1036 nt
Filed under: Homo sapiens (human)
Lineage: Eukaryota; Metazoa; Chordata; Mammalia; Primates; Hominidae
Description: HSALNT0180665
Source: RNAcentral
GCCUAAAUAACAUUUGGACUGGACAUUGAGCUAUGUAUGCUGCAUAUGUUAUUUGCUCCUCAAAAGAACCCUUGAGAUCUAACUCAGGUGAUACGGUUUAGCUCUUUCCUCACCCAAAUCUCAUCUUGAAUUGUAGCUCCCAUAAUUCCCAUGUGUUGUGGGAGGGACCCAGUGGAAAAUAAUUGAAUCAUGGGAGCAGUUUCCCCCACUGUUCUCAUGGUAGUGAAUAAGUAAGUCUCACAAGAUCUGAUGGUUUUAUAAGAGGAAACCCCUUUCUCUUGGUUCUCAUUUUCUCUCUUGCCUGUGUCCAUGUAAGACAUGCCUUUCACCUUUUGCCAUGGUUAUGAGGCCUCCCCAGCCACGUGGAACUGUGAGUCCAUUAAACCUUUUUCUUUAUAAAUUACCCAGUCUUGGGUAUGUCUUUGUCAGCAGCAUGAAAGCGGACUAAUACAUCAUGUUAUCUCCACUUUUAUGACAGCAACAACAAAAAAAAGCCUCAUCGAUUUAAUUAACCAUCUUUCUUAAAAAUUACAUACUAAUAUUGACCCAAGUUUUUAGCAUAAGAGCUCUAAGGAAAAGGAAUGGUGAAAGUUUGUAGGUAUAGUUAUAAGUAUUGUAGCUUUGCCAUUUGCUAUUUGCGAAAGGCAUUUAACUUGCUCUUCAAUUUGGUUUCAUCUGUAACUGGGGCAUGAUACCUACUCUGCCUGUGCUACAUAGUUUUUUUUGUUUUGUUUUGUUUUUUUAAAGAAAAUGGUAGAAGUAUAUAAACUAUAAAAUGCUACUUAAAUGAAAGAUGGUAUUAAUGUUGGAUUUGAGAUCCAGGGUUUUUUGAGAUGGAAUUUCACUUUGUCACCAAGGCUACAGUGCAGUGGCGCAGUCUUGGCUCACUGCACCUCCACCUCCCAAGUUCAAGCGAUUAUCCUGCCUCAGCCUCCUGAGUAGCUGGGACUACAGGCAAGCACCACCACCACCACCGCACCAGGUGAAUUUUUUUGUUUGUUUGUUUGUUUUGAGACAGAGUCUUACUCUGUCACCC